RNAcentral lists this unclassified non-coding RNA (473 nucleotides) under uncultured Glomus. Its description in RNAcentral is "SSU rRNA". It matches the Rfam family "Eukaryotic small subunit ribosomal RNA", at positions 569 to 1046 of the family's 1831-position model. Lineage: Eukaryota; Fungi; Glomeromycota; Glomeromycetes; Glomerales; Glomeraceae. The record is from RNAcentral.
AGCAGCCGCGGUAAUUCCAGCUCCAAUAGCGUAUAUUAAAGUUGUUGCAGUUAAAAAGCUCGUAGUUGAAUUUCGGGGUUAGUAGGUUGGUCAUGCCUCUGGUAUGUACUGGUCUCACUGAUUCCUCCUUCCUGAUGAACCUUAAUGCCAUUAAUUUGGUGUUUUGGGGAAUUUGGACUGUUACUUUGAAGAAAUUAGAGUGUUUAAAGCAAGCUAACGCUUGAAUACAUUAGCAUGGAAUAAUGAAAUAGGACGUUCGAUCCUAUUUUGUUGGUUUCUAGGAUUGACGUAAUGAUUAAUAGGGAUAGUUGGGGGCAUUAGUAUUCAAUUGUCAGAGGUGAAAUUCUUGGAUUUAUUGAAGACUAACUACUGCGAAAGCAUUUGCCAAGGAUGUUUUCAUUAAUCAAGAACGAAAGUUAGGGGAUCGAAGACGAUCAGAUACCGUCGUAGUCUUAACCAUAAACUAUGCCGAC